Molecule: ribosomal RNA, 534 nt
Filed under: uncultured bacterium
Lineage: Bacteria
Description: bacterial SSU rRNA
Rfam family: Bacterial small subunit ribosomal RNA
Source: RNAcentral
AAUAGAUACCCGGGUAGUCCACGCCGUAAACGGUGGGCGCUAGGUGUGGGGGACUUUCCACGUCCUCUGUGCCGCAGCUAACGCAUUAAGCGCCCCGCCUGGGGAGUACGGCCGCAAGGCUAAAACUCAAAGGAAUUGACGGGGGCCCGCACAAGCGGCGGAGCAUGUGGCUUAAUUCGACGCAACGCGAAGAACCUUACCAAGGCUUGACAUGCAGAGAAAUCUCGUAGAGAUACGGGGUCCGCAAGGGCUUUGCACAGGUGGUGCAUGGUUGUCGUCAGCUCGUGUCGUGAGAUGUUGGGUUAAGUCCCGCAACGAGCGCAACCCUUGUCCUAUGUUGCCAGCGAGUAAUGUCGGGGACUCAUAGGAGACUGCCGGGGUCAACUCGGAGGAAGGUGGGGAUGACGUCAAAUCAUCAUGCCCCUUAUGUCUUGGGCUGCACACAUGCUACAAUGGUCGGUACAAAGGGCUGCGAGACCGCAAGGUGGAGCGAAUCCCAAAAAGCCGGCCUCAGUUCGGAUUAGGGUCUGCAAC